Long non-coding RNA from Bacillus rossius redtenbacheri, 405 nucleotides. RefSeq lists it as uncharacterized. The record is from RefSeq and is a predicted model, not a curated record. The transcript has 2 exons. NCBI's taxonomy places the organism in Eukaryota, Metazoa, Arthropoda, Insecta, Phasmatodea, Bacillidae.
GCCAGCCAGAGGCUUCGGCUUACACCACCGCUCCGAAGAAGACAACAGAUCGUCACGCUGCCGCCAUCGCCCACGACGCCCGGAACUUCGCUACUCCACGACGCUACCGACUUAGAAGAAUCCGCACCCGGGGCAGAAGGGAUCGCUGCUCCGCCACGAGAGACAGUCACCCUGCAUCCAGAGGUCCCAAUCGGACUCUGCCUGCGGCGGCCGUGCCGUCACCUGAGUCUAUCACCUCCGUCCGAAGCCGAGGUGGGACUUAGCCGAAUUCCAACAAGGCCACACCGUCAGCCAUUUGCUGUUAACCGACUUUUGCUACUGAAGCAAACGGCGACGUAUAAAUAUCAAGUUUGCAUGUUUCUCGUGUGUUGUGUUAUAACCAAUAAAAGCGUCUUGUACACGAAA